GGUUAUUGUCUGAUUCAAAGUCCAAAGGGAAAGUGAGGGUUAUAUAUGACAUUCUUGUCUGUUGGAUUGCAUUCCAUUGGUCAGAUCUUUUCAACUCUUAACUUUUAAAUUUGUGCUUAGGAUAGCCUCUUCAUCUCCUCCCACUUUAUUGAAUUUCAAAAUCUCUCCCCCCUUUUUCAAAAACCUUUUUUGCUUGUGAUUUCAAACUUAGACAUUGUUUAAUGAUUAGAAACUUUGGCCCUAUGCCACUGAAUUUUCAAACUCUUUCUUAAAAUCAAAUUUGUAAAUAAACUCAACUAUAUUGACUUAAAUUUCAAAACACAAAAAUAAC
RNAcentral lists this long non-coding RNA (331 nucleotides) under Lathyrus oleraceus (garden pea). RNAcentral's name for it is "Pisum sativum (pea) long non-coding RNA (PSAT_LNC024017)". Lineage: Eukaryota; Viridiplantae; Streptophyta; Magnoliopsida; Fabales; Fabaceae. The record is from RNAcentral.